GAUGAAGAACGUAGCGAAAUGCGAUAAGUAAUGUGAAUUGCAGAAUUCAGUGAAUCAUCGAAUCUUUGAACGCACAUUGCGCCCAUUAGUAUUCUAGUGGGCAUGCCUGUUCGAGCGUCAUUUCAACCCUUAAGCCUAGCUUAGUGUUGGGAGACUGCCUAAUACGCAGCUCCUCAAAACCAGUGGCGGAGUCUGUUCGUGCUCUGAGCGUAGUAAUUUUUUAUCUCGCUUCUGCAAGCCGGCCAGACGACANNNAUAAACCGCACCCUCUCGGGGGGCACUUUUUUAAUGGUUGACCUCGGAUCAGGUAGGAAUACCCGCUGAACUUAAGCAUAUCAAUAAGCGGAGGA
Molecule: unclassified non-coding RNA, 350 nt
Filed under: soil metagenome
Description: partial contains 5.8S ribosomal RNA, internal transcribed spacer 2, and large subunit ribosomal RNA
Rfam family: 5.8S ribosomal RNA (bases 1-120)
Source: RNAcentral